UUGCGCUCGGUGCCCCGUCACCGCGGGGAGCGAGCGGAGGGCGUCCCCGGCCCGCUGCCUGCCGCCCUGCCGCCUCGCCCGGCCCCGAGGGAAAGAGGCUGUGGGGGGCCUGCGAGUGGGAAGGGGUCGCAGCUAGGAAUCGACUUUACACCCUUUCCGACCUUAUAGCGAAGGGGGCUGGGUGAGAAACGCGGAGUGAGGGUUUUUUUCCUGUCAGACACAGCGCAGUGUCUGCACCCCUCCCGGGGCGCCCUGCAGGUCCGGGCUCACCCCCGCCGCCGGGCUGAGGCGCGCUCCCGGAGUCACAUCCCCCCGUCUGGCACCCCCGUAGCAAAGGCUUAAACACGGGAGCUUGUUGCAAGCAGCGCGGAGCUACCAAGCGCGUUAGCUGUGAGACUCCUAUGAAUUUUUCAAGAGGCUGCUUUAUAAUCAGGAGAGUUUGUAAUCAAGCUACGUACGCCCGCUUAUUUCGCGGCUGUGCUGGCUGUAUUACUCCUGACACAGCCUGAGGCUGGCUGUGCUGCAGCUCGACGCUCGGAGCCUUGGGAAGAGACACAACUGAUAUGACACAAACGAACGUUUCUUAGCCUUUACCUUGGGCAGAGGGUGGGCUAGAGUUACAUUUUCCUGGCAGGUAUCCAGGACUGUGAGUCUUCGCUUUUGCAGCCUUUGCUUAGACAGUCAGUAAAUGGAGACAUAAAUACAAAAACUAGGCUUUCCCAAGUAUCUAUGGGACAAUUUAUGUAAACUCCACAAGGCACUCCUUCGAGGUUGGCAUUGAUCCUGUGUCAGAGUCACAGUGAAGUGACACAUGGACAUGUUCUCACUUGAAAAAUGAGUUACUGUAAUAUUAGCCUCAACUAUUUCAGCUGAGUGAGGGUAGUGAAUGAGGGUAGGGAGUAAAUUUUAGAUUUGCUAUAAUUUCACAUGAAUGAAUGUAGUGAAUCAGUUUUCUCUCCAAAGCCUUGCCUAAUAUAUCAUGACAAAACCCAAAGUUGAUUGCUUCCUAUUCAAAAGAGACCUGAGCACCAAAUGAAUUUGUAUUUGAUCCCAAAUUAGUCCAAAGGGUAUUGUCUACCAGAUGUUUAUUGUUUGGCUAGGUUUUUAGUUUGGGUUAUUACAGAGAAACAUGCCUGAUGAAGCGUUCAAAGCAAGCUGUCCGAUUCCAGUGGGCUUUUGCUCAGAUGUUACAAUACCAUUAAUACAUUUCCAGCUCUAUUUCAAUGUCUUUUAUUCAAGAGUUCUCUGAUACUUUUAAUUGUCACCUGAAUGUACCUGUACAUGCAUCUUCUGAUGCCCUUUGUCAUAUACACAGUCCUAUGAAUUUGUGUGACUAUCAGCUCUUCUGUUGUAGCGUGUCUGCAGACCCAAAAACAGAUGAAGAGAGGGCUAGCGUGUAGCAAAUAAUGCCAAAACCAUGCAGUCACUCCUGUGUACAAAUCGCAUUGCAUUGGGAUUUUGGUGCAAAGGACUGGAAAUGAAGCAAAACUUCAUAAAUAGGAUUAGCUCCUGAACACUUGCAGUGUGUGAGUGGCAAAUGUUCUCCAGCAGUUUCAGCUCUUUUGGUCUGAACUCCCAGCACCCAGCUGAAUGCAGUAAGGGCUACUUGCAAAGAGGUUUGGGGACGGAGAGCUGAGCUGUUCCUUUUCCUGAAAAAAAAAAAAAAAAGAUAACCUGCCAUAGGAAAGCUAAAUCAACAGUUUAGCGUCAUUUAGACUACCUUAGCAAAGAACUGAAAGAGGGCAGUUUGUCUGAGGUUGGAGACGGUGCCUCAUAUCUAUUCCUCUUCAUAAAGGAGUAAUUAAGCAAGUGGAUACAACAAGAAGAAAGUAUGUUAGUUAGAUCGUUGGUUGAUAGCCCCUGUCCAGCAGGACCCUUCACAAAUAUUUCAUUGUUAGAUCUAUCAGAUAUAAUUAAUCUUGGCAUGGUUUCAGUCAUCCAAAGAGGCUGCAGCACACUUGAAAACUCCUUAUAAAUAGCACUAAUAGAUAGCUCUGUUCUGUGGUUUUCAGCCAUAAAUCUCAAAGAACAAAGUUCUUUUAUGGCUGGGGAUGCUGAAGCAUAAAGAAAUCAGGGGAUGACCAAGUCAGAGAUGGAUCAUGUUGUAGAUUUUGCGGGUUUGAUGCUAUGGAUAUAACUAGAACUGCGAUUUGCACCAUAGGUCACAGUAGCAUUUGUCAGCAUGGUAGAGGAGGUGUGAAGUGGGCUAUAAUGUUAAAAUCCUAGAAGGGAAUAAUAAAGUAACAAGAGAGUAGGAGUUUCAUGUGACACAGUGCAGAGCUGCUGUGAGGAUGAAGACUAAUAGUAAAGGACAAUCAGAGUCUUUGAGAGUCAUUUUAAUGACACUUCUAAGAAGCAUUUUCAUUAAAGCAUUGCUUGUGAAAUAUUUUAAGUAAAAUUAAAUGAAGAAUAAGUAUUUCUGCCCAAGUGCUAUUAAAACUGCAACUCAUGAGGCUACUGUUUUAGAGCCUAAAGUCUCAUUGCAGCUAGUGGAAACUGACCGUAAACAGGUAUAGAUUCCAGAAGCAAAUCCGUAACUGCAUUCAACUCAAAAGCUUGUGAUUCUCAGGCAGUGUUCCUCAAUUCAGCCAACUUAUGCUGAUCUACACUGAGGAAAAGGAACAGCUGUGGAACUUUUCUUUAUAAAGGCUGCCAUUUUGAGGUUGUAAUUUCUGAAAGUUGCAUGUGGGAGAGAAGAAGGGAAAGCAGUGCAGUAAAGAAUUGGAUACGCAGCCAUAACAGAGGUAUUUUUCAGUGGAAAGACACCGACUGUCAAUUGCAGGGAAAAAGAUGUUAGGAGCAACUAAGUAUAGCAAUGCAUUACCAAUUUCUGAAAAUGCCAGGUAAAUAAGGAAAAUUUCCCAGUCAACAGCUGAAGAGGGAGGCAGGGUCAGGAAAAGAAGUUGGUACUUGACUCCUCUCAGAAAAGAGCAGUUUCAGUUCUGUGAAAGGAGUUGGAUCCAAUCAUCCUGGGGAUUGUUCUGAGAGAGACAUUUAUACCCAGGGGAGGAAAAAUGUUUCUGUGAUAUGACUUCGAAGUCUUGGUUGGCUAAUGGUUUCAUAGCUGACGUAGGGGGAGAAUAUCAGAGUAGCAAAGUAAGUGAGCUAAUCUUAUGGCAGAAUAUACUCUUUGAACAGUGGUUGAGAAUCAGUGGAUUGCUGGUUGAGCAAGGAGCUAAGGAAUGUUUCCUUAUUGCCCAUUGAUGUGCUACUUUGAUUGUGAGCACAGCGUAUCCUUUCCUCCUCCUUGAUCAGUGUUCUCGUGGAUUUGACAAAGUAUUUGCAAUGAAGCACAUAAAGGCCUCUGAAACUCCAGAAACUGAUAAUAGAAGCUGGUUGGACUAAGCGGCUUGUUAUUGCUACAUCAUGUCAGAAAGAUUUAUCUGCAGAAAACAGAGAUCAUGCGCUGCACGGAACAAGCCAGCACUUUGUACCACUCUUUAUAUGAAUAUCAGAAGCCCAGACAAAGGGAACAGCCAGUUGGCAAGCAGGCUGAGAACAAGGUCAUAAUCUCUCCAGAGGAGCCAACGCACCCAAUCUCAGCAAAGACACUAAGCUCAUCAUCUGAAAUGCAUUUGUAUGAGCAGCAGCUAUAACCUCCACACCACCCUCUCAGUUACACAAACACAGAUGUCCCUGAAGCCAUAAAAUGACCUACAUCAAAAAGCCAAGGCAGGUGCUGUUUUAGAAUACUUUUGAUAUACGUGCCGUUUUUCAUUAAAGUAUGGUAAACAUUUUCAGCCCAAUCUUAACUCCCCGGUCUUUAAUCUCUUAUCCACAUAACUGCACGCUCCUGCCAGAGGCUGUAUGGCAGAACUGAGGGUGUGGGGCAGGGUGGCCAGGAAGGUAAGGGGGGUCGAGCAGGGAGGGCCUGCCUAGGUUGUUCAAGCAGCACACGUGGAAAUGGGAUCUAGCAGGGCUCCCACGGCCUGCAAACCACACAGCCGAUGGAGUGUGGACCGAGAGAAAGCAACUGCCACCAGAAGUCCAAAACGAGUAGUACUGACAGAGAAUUAUCCAUGACAAUUACUACAAAAUCUAAUCCAGCUGCAAAUACAAUUACUAGAAAUCAGGAAAACACUGUUCAGAUCAGGUGGUAUCAGUAAGAUAGAGGGGUUGCAGUGUAAGGCCUCUCUAAGCUUUGAGGAGCACUUAGGAGCUCAUAUCCAGAACUUUGAUAGACUGUGUGUUGUACUAGCACAGACUAAAAAGACUGCUUCAAAUCUAAGUGUGAAAUAUAUGCAGAGAAUGCUAAAGGGAAUGUAUUAAUAGACUUUCAUAGCUUUUUUUUUUUUUUUGGCAGCAUGCUGUAUAUAGGUUGAGGCUUUUAGACGAAGUUAGAUCAGAAAGAAAUGUCAGAAAAAGAAGAAUCAGUGAAAAUGGGUAUAAGAGAAGAAGUGGUCCAAAGAACAAACUUUGCACCUCCACAGCUGAAGGUGAUCUUAGAACAAGAACAGAGUGAUUACAGAGGUAUCUGUCAUCUGCCUGCUGAUAGGGCCUUCAGAAGAAAGCCUGUUCUGGAGCCCUCAUCACUACUGAUACACUAACAUCUGUGACAGUACCCGUGUCUCCUGGAUUUUGUCGGGAACCCAACUAUGGGAUCCUCAAUGAAGCAAAUUUUCUGCCAGCCUCACCAUGUGAAGUCAGUCCUCCCUGCGAAUGUUGAUCAGAACUAGAUGCCCCAAUGGCAUUAAACUGCAACACUUGAACAGCACGCAGCCUCUCUCUGCAUAUCUUCCCUCAGUGCCCUGCAGCUCUGAUCACCACACUGCAAAGAAACAUGGCAGACUUAAAUCUUGAAGCUUAUAUCACAAAAGACUGCCUUGGUGCACAAGAACAAUGUUUGCAGGAAAACAUCGCAGGUACAAUUAACAGCACUGAAUCUGGAGACAGGAUGAAUAAGAAGGACAUGACAGAGUCGUAGUUCCACCAGCGCACGUCACGGAGAAGGUAAAUUGGGUGAUCCUCUUUAGUCUUUCGUAUACCACAAGAACAAGAUGUUAACUCAAAGGCAACAAAUUGAAAUCAGAUAAAAGGAAAUCAAUUGUAUAAAGAGUACAAUUAACCUCCUACAACAACUACUGGAGCCAAGAACUCAGCAAGCUUCU
Long non-coding RNA from Cygnus olor (mute swan), 5108 nucleotides. RefSeq lists it as uncharacterized. The record is from RefSeq and is a predicted model, not a curated record. The transcript has 3 exons. NCBI's taxonomy places the organism in Eukaryota, Metazoa, Chordata, Aves, Anseriformes, Anatidae.